UGCGUAGGCGGAUUAAUAAGUCAGUGGUGAAAUCUUUCGGCUCAACCGAGAAACUGCCAUUGAUACUGUUGAUCUUGAGUUCGGUUGAGGUAGGCGGAAUGUGUAAUGUAGCGGUGAAAUGCUUAGAUAUUACACAGAACACCAAUUGCGUAGGCAGCUUACUAGACCGACACUGACGCUGAGGCACGAAAGCGUGGGGAGCGAACAGGGUUAGAUACCCUGGUAGUCC
This 229-nucleotide ribosomal RNA is filed under the name uncultured bacterium. RNAcentral's name for it is "partial 16S ribosomal RNA". It matches the Rfam family "Bacterial small subunit ribosomal RNA", at positions 568 to 796 of the family's 1533-position model. The record is from RNAcentral.